GACGAACCGUGCGAACGUUGUUCGGAAUCACUGGGCUUAAAGGGCGCGUAGGCGGGCGGUUAAGUCAGGGGUGAAAUCCCGCAGCUCAACUGCGGAAGUGCCUUUGAUACUGGUGGUCUCGAGGGAGAUAGGGGCAUGCGGAACUUCCGGUGGAGCGGUGAAAUGCGUAGAUAUCGGAAGGAACGCCGAUGGCGAAAGCAGCGUGCUGGAUCUCUUCUGACGCUGAGGCGCGAAAGCUAGGGGAGCAAACGGG
RNAcentral lists this ribosomal RNA (253 nucleotides) under uncultured bacterium. RNAcentral describes it as "partial 16S ribosomal RNA". It matches the Rfam family "Bacterial small subunit ribosomal RNA", at positions 524 to 776 of the family's 1533-position model. The record is from RNAcentral.